Non-coding RNA from Hordeum vulgare subsp. vulgare (domesticated barley), 74 nucleotides. NCBI's taxonomy places the organism in Eukaryota, Viridiplantae, Streptophyta, Magnoliopsida, Poales, Poaceae. The record is from Rfam.
GGGGAUGUAGCUCAAAUGUUAGAGCACUUAUGUUGCAUCUUAAGAGGCAGGGGGAUCGAUACCUCUCGUCUCCA